RNAcentral lists this transfer RNA (66 nucleotides) under Plethodon larselli (Larch Mountain salamander). RNAcentral describes it as "tRNA-Ser". Lineage: Eukaryota; Metazoa; Chordata; Amphibia; Caudata; Plethodontidae. The record is from RNAcentral.
GAGAAGAGAAGAAACCCCAGAAACUGCUAAUUAUCUGACCCAUGGUUUAAUUCCAUGAUCUACUCA